UAGGGAAUAUUGCGCAAUGGGGGAAACCCUGACGCAGCGACGCCGCGUGAGUGAUGAAGGACUUCGGUUCGUAAAGCUCUGUCGCAGGGGAAUAAUUUUGAAUGUACCCUGUAAGAAAGGAUCGGCUAACUUCGUGCCAGCAGCCGCGGUAAGACGAGGGAUCCUAGCGUUGUUCGGAAUCAUUGGGCGUAAAGCGGAUGUAGGUGGCUUAGUAAGUCAGAUGUGAAAGCCCAGGGCUUAACCCUGGAAGUGCAUUUGAUACUGCUGAGCUUGAGUGUGGGAGAGGCUAGUGGAAUUCCUGGUGUAGUGGUGAAAUACGUAGAUAUCAGGAGGAACAUCGGUGGCGAAGGCGGCUAGCUGGCCCAACACUGACGCUGAGAUCCGAAAGCGUGGGGAUCAA
RNAcentral lists this ribosomal RNA (400 nucleotides) under uncultured bacterium. RNAcentral's name for it is "bacterial SSU rRNA". It matches the Rfam family "Bacterial small subunit ribosomal RNA", at positions 355 to 771 of the family's 1533-position model. The record is from RNAcentral.